This 427-nucleotide ribosomal RNA is filed under the name uncultured bacterium. RNAcentral describes it as "bacterial SSU rRNA". It matches the Rfam family "Bacterial small subunit ribosomal RNA", at positions 355 to 774 of the family's 1533-position model. The record is from RNAcentral.
UGGGGAAUUUUGGACAAUGGGCGCAAGCCUGAUCCAGCAAUGCCGCGUGCAGGAUGAAGGCCUUCGGGUUGUAAACUGCUUUUGUACGGAACGAAAAAGCUCUCUCUAAUACAGGGGGUGAAUGACGGUACCGUAAGAAUAAGCACCGGCUAACUACGUGACAGCAGCCGCGGUAAUACGUAGGGUGCAAGCGUUAAUCGGAAUUACUGGGCGUAAAGCGUGCGGAGGUGGUUGUUUAAGUCUGAUGUGAAAGCCCUGGGCUCAACCUGGGAAUGGCAUUGGAAACGGGGCAGCUAGAGGGCGGGAGAGGGUAGUGGAAUUCCCGGUUUAGCAGUGAAAUGCGUAGAGAUCGGGAGGAACAUCUGUGGCGAAGGCGACUGCCUGGACCAGCACUGACACUGAGGCACGAAAGCGUGGGGAGCAAACA